RNAcentral lists this non-coding RNA (24 nucleotides) under Arabidopsis thaliana (thale cress). The record is from RNAcentral. Lineage: Eukaryota; Viridiplantae; Streptophyta; Magnoliopsida; Brassicales; Brassicaceae.
AUAGGUGUUGAAUAAUGAUGUGGA